This 1203-nucleotide long non-coding RNA is filed under the name Eucalyptus grandis. RNAcentral's name for it is "long non-coding RNA (EGRA_LNC000607)". The record is from RNAcentral. Lineage: Eukaryota; Viridiplantae; Streptophyta; Magnoliopsida; Myrtales; Myrtaceae.
GUGUAUCAUAUGAUGGAUGACGAUUCUGCUUUAUGUGGAAGUGUAAAUUGCACUUUAUGCUUGGUAAGUCAAUAACAAAAUGGAUCACCUCCAUUCUCUUUGCCAGUUUACCUCCUGAGUUUUGUUUGUUGAGCUGAGCUAUCUGAGCUUGUGAUUUACUAGCUUGUGAUCUGAUCUGAUUAUGGAUUCUUAGUGCGACAGCUCUUUUUUGGGGUUGAGACAGAGAGUUGUGUGUCGCUGCUGACGCAGUUUCCUUCAUUGAACAUCUGUUUGCUUCAUAAAUACGUUCAUGACAUGGUGUAGAUAAUUGCUCUUUAGAUUGAUUAACUGAAUCAUUGCAAAAUUGUCAUGUCUUGCCAUGAACAUCGAGGAGAAUGACACUUGAAGUGUACCCGGUCGUCCAUUUCGCAAAUAGGUAAGUAGCAUGGUAAUACUUGCUCUUCACAUGUCACUUCUUCCCCUUUCAUUGGUGGAAGAAUGUCUCUCUCAUGCGGAUUCCAAAACCACAUUUAGUGCGAUAUUUUGAAGUUUCGAAGUCAAUUUGGAGGAUGGUCGAUUGGACCACUAGCAGAUGAAAACUAUAUCUCCACCAUAACAUGAUUGCAGAUGCUAUGUCAUGUUCAUGUCGGGCAUUUUGAGUCACCUUGUUCAUCUCAUUGACAAUAGAGAAUGAUUCUAUUCAUGGUUUAACACUUAAUUUGUGGCACCCUGCUCCGGCUUUCGCUGGGGGGCCAGUGCUGCUGGUCUUCUUCAUGUGUGGCUUCAAAAUUUCACUUGCGAGUUUCAUAGAGUGCUUGCUUCAACUGAGUUUUGUUUUCUUGUCAAGGACUGUUCACACAGUACAGCUUCGCUCUUUGCAAGUAAAUCUGGACUACCGAUGCGAAGGUCGGCAGUAGCGAAAAUGAUUUUCGCGUUACCUCUUUCUUAAGGAGCACGUUUCUUUGAAUAAUGAGAGCGUGGCCAUCAGAACCAUGAUCUAUAUGGUUGAUGGAAGCACGCGAACAUAUCCUCCGAGUAAUGUAGUCUUGGAAUAAGGUUGUAAUAUAAUAGUUGUUAUGCUGUAAUUAUUAUAAUCAUAAUUUGUUUAGAUUAUAAUUCAAAAUUGAGUAUAUAGCAAGUGAUUAUAUUGGAAGAAAUAUAUUAUAUUUGGGUAAUUAUCACUUUAAUAGCCGAUCAUGAGUUUCAUGCCUCAUAUGUACCAGC